Molecule: long non-coding RNA, 1370 nt
Filed under: Homo sapiens (human)
Lineage: Eukaryota; Metazoa; Chordata; Mammalia; Primates; Hominidae
Description: non-protein coding lnc-SH2D7-3:5
Source: RNAcentral
AAGGCCAGGCCAGUCAGGCACAGGGCACAGGGACGGCUUCCCAGAGGAGGUGUCCCUGCCCCCACUGCUAGGGCUGGCCCUGGAGACAGUCAUUCCUCCCCUGCUCCCCCCAGUGCUCAGCCCCCUGUGGCAGUGGCGUCCAGCGGCGCCUAGUCAAGUGUGUCAACACCCAGACAGGGCUGCCCGAGGAAGACAGUGACCAGUGUGGCCAUGAGGCCUGGCCUGAGAGCUCCCGGCCGUGUGGCACCGAGGAUUGUGAGCCCAUCGAGUCUCCCCGUUCUGCGAGACGCUGCACCUAGUGGGCUGCUGCCAGCUGCCCACUGUCCGCACCCACUGCUGCCGCUCGUGCUCUCCGCCCAGCCACGGCGCCCGCUCCCGAGGCCAUCAGCGGGUUGCCUGCCACUGACCGUGCCAGGAUGCACAGACCGACCAACAGACCUCAGUGCCCACCAUGGGCUGUGGCGGAGCUCCUGCCCCCUACGCCCUACGCCCUACGCCCUAAUGGUGCUAACCCCCUCUCACUAUCCAGCGGCAGGCUGGGGACCUCCUCCCCCCUCAAAAAAAGUAUUUUUUUAUUCUAACAGUUUGUGUAACAUUUAUUAUGAUUUUACAUAAAUGAGCAUCUACCAUUCCAAAGCACAGCAUGACUUCAUCUUGGAUUUGGAGAAUCUUAAAAGUGAGAAACUCUUCCCCCCACUCCUCUGCCCAAAACUCCACCGCCACAGCACCUCGGCAGGCGCGGCUUUUCACCUGCUCCUCUGGGGCAGAUCUGCAGGGUACAGAGCAGCAAACAAGUCCGUGAGAGCAUGGCGUCUGGUGAGGCACGGGCCUUGGAAGCUGGGGGGCUGCUGCCCAGGGAGGGCUAUCUGCGGAGGGUCGGGUUCUGGGGGCAGGAAGGUCUUCCGGGCAGGGGCACAGCUUGGCCCUUACUUGCUGCCUGCCUCUAGCUCGGCUCCCAGCUUUCCCUGGGGCCCCACUCUGUGGUCCUCAGAGACCUGUUCCACAGGGAUUGGGCCCACCUUGUCACUUGCAGGACUGCCCCUUGGAGUGAUGGGGACUGGGGCCCCCAGGGGCACCUCCCUGGGCCUGUUGUAUCUGUUGACUCUUCUGCAAAAAGUAGACAGAGAAGAGAGCAGGCUGGCCCGCUGUGCUCUACUGUGUCUGUCCCAGGACUCGGAAGGUAGGGAGGGAGCGUGGCCAGGGCGGCUGCCUGCAGGUGCGUGUCCUGCUGCUCCCCAACUCAACAUGCUCACCUCAUUUCACACCAACAAGCCCCAUCCUCAGAGGAGGAGCCCAAGGCUCUGAGAGGAAGUAACUGGCCCAAGGGCACAUGCCCUGGUGACACAGGCCCAUCCUAGGCCCUGACUGCC